RNAcentral lists this ribosomal RNA (253 nucleotides) under uncultured bacterium. RNAcentral's name for it is "partial 16S ribosomal RNA". It matches the Rfam family "Bacterial small subunit ribosomal RNA", at positions 524 to 776 of the family's 1533-position model. The record is from RNAcentral.
UACGAAGGGGGCGAGCGUUGUUCGGAUUUACUGGGCGUAAAGGGCGCGUAGGCGGCCUUGUCAGUCAGGCGUGAAAGCCCCGGGCUCAACCUGGGAACGGCGCUUGGGACGGCGAGGCUGGAGUUCGGGAGAGGAGAGUGGAAUUCCUGGUGUAGCGGUGAAAUGCGCAGAUAUCAGGAAGAACACCCGUGGCUAAGGCGGCUCUCUAGUACGGUACUGACGCUGAGACGCGAAAGCGUGGGGAGCGAACAGG